CUGCAACUGGGUCAUUUUCUGCACCUGCAGGUUGAGUUUACAGAGCAUGUACAACAAAUGGGACUACCAUCUCCAGCUCUAAUCAAGACAUAGGGCUGGAAUCCAUUUGCAAGAUAACGACAACAUUGUGGUGGAGACCUUCACAUGAAUAAUGUCCAAGGUUAAAAUCCAGACUGGGGCCUUCCUGUGUGCAGUUGACUACCAACCUGUCCAUGGUGUACCCCACCCCCGCCCUAUGACAGCUGGGAUUAAGCUCAGCCCCUCAUGUGACUCUGAAUUGGAUAAAUGGAAGAAAAUGAAUAGACUGACAAUUAAAUCAUUUUAUAUAUAGUCUGUAGGUUACACAGGAGUGAUGUUACCCCUGUGUUUGUAUGACAUAGCUCACCCUUUUGUCAGAUACUACCUGACAAGAAGUCAGCCACCUGUGUAGACACACACAGCCUUUAAGCUCAACUUACCAUUGAUUGACCCUUAAAAACCUUUUUCUAGUUUUUUUGUUCAUUGAUAAUUAUCUACUUGUUUUUCCAGGAACAGCCUAAUUUUUGCGAAGCCAGUGUUAUUUCAUACUGAAUGAAAAGUUCAUAAAUCUUUCCCCCCCGUUAUAGUGAUUUGGUGUCUUAGGAACAAAAAUUCAAGAUUUGUUGUUUAGCCAACAAAUUGACAAACUGUAGCCAUUAUGGUUUCCCCCCUCUUUUUUCCAUUUCAUGCUGAGGUACUUUAAUCAGACGGCAGUAAAAGUUAAGUCCAUUUCCUGUCUGUCAGGAAAACAUUCCUUCCAUCCUGAGUCAUCAGUGUGAAAAGUGUUUGCAAAGUAGAUAAUUUAAUUAAGAAUAAUCUGCUUUGAUUUCAGAUAAAGAAAACAGGAAGGAACGCUAACGAUAACAAGUCACUUCAUUGCUGCAGGAAAUCUUGUCCCAUAGUUGAUCAAAAUACUUGUUUACAGGGCUGCUUAUAGGCUUCUACUACAGGAACCCAUAGAAAUUCGCUGCAAUGACAACUCAACUUUAAGUAGACGUGCACAAAUGGAAACAAUCAUUUUAAAAAGGAGAGUCCAUCGCACAGCAAGUCCAGAAAACAAAUACAGCUUUUAUUUGAGCAGCUCACUCUGUCAGUUAAGGUUUUUUGGUUUAUUUCCAGACUGCCAACUAGUGCAAAGUCACAUGUCCGCAGAUGCUCUGGAAGUGGUUUUUGUGGACUUGUUCCAUAACAGUCUGAAGUCCAGAUUUUCACCUUUGUUGAAUUUGAAGCAAAGUAAAUCGCAAUCUU
Oreochromis niloticus (Nile tilapia) is the source of this 1266-nucleotide long non-coding RNA. RefSeq lists it as uncharacterized. The transcript has 2 exons. The record is from RefSeq and is a predicted model, not a curated record. NCBI's taxonomy places the organism in Eukaryota, Metazoa, Chordata, Actinopteri, Cichliformes, Cichlidae.